This 468-nucleotide ribosomal RNA is filed under the name uncultured bacterium. RNAcentral describes it as "partial 16S ribosomal RNA". It matches the Rfam family "Bacterial small subunit ribosomal RNA", at positions 28 to 507 of the family's 1533-position model. The record is from RNAcentral.
GACGAACGCUGGCGGCGUGCUUAACACAUGCAAGUCGAACGGAAAGGCCCUGCUUUUGUGGGGUGCUCGAGUGGCGAACGGGUGAGUAACACGUGAGUAACCUGCCCUCGACUUUGGGAUAACUUCAGGAAACUGGGGCUAAUACCGGAUAGGAGCUCCUGCUGCAUGGUGGGCGUUGGAAAGUUUCGGCGGUUGGGGAUGGACUCGCGGCUUAUCAGCUUGUUGGUGGGGUAGUGGCUUACCAACGCUUGGACGGGUAGCCGGCAUGAGAGGGUGACCGGGCACAAGAGGACUGAGAUACGGCGCAGACGCCUACGGGAGGCAGCAGGGGGAAGUAUGGCACAAUGGGCGGAAGCGUGAUGCAGCAACGCCGCGUGCGGGAAGACGGCCUUCGGGUUGUGAACCGCUUUCGCCUGAGACGAAGCGUGAGUGACGGUAAUGGGUGAAGAAGCACCGGCUAACUACGUG